This 467-nucleotide ribosomal RNA is filed under the name uncultured Lachnospiraceae bacterium. Its description in RNAcentral is "bacterial SSU rRNA". It matches the Rfam family "Bacterial small subunit ribosomal RNA", at positions 917 to 1381 of the family's 1533-position model. The record is from RNAcentral. Lineage: Bacteria; Bacillati; Bacillota; Clostridia; Lachnospirales; Lachnospiraceae.
UUGACGGGACCGCACAAGCAGCGAGCAUGUGGUUUAAUUCGAAGCAACGCGAAGAACCUUACCAAGGCUUGACAUCCCUUGACGCAUGCAGAAAUGCAUGUUCCCUUCGGGGCAAGGAGACAGGUGGUGCAUGGUUGUCGUCAGCUCGUGUCGUGAGAUGUUGGGUUAAGUCCCGCAACGAGCGCAACCCUUAUCAUUAGUUGCCAGCGCGUAAUGGCGGGAACUCUAAUGAGACUGCCGGGAUAACUCGGAGGAAGGUGGGGACGACGUCAAAUCAUCAUGCCCCUUAUGUCUUGGGCUACACACGUGCUACAAUGGCCGGUACAAAGGGCUGCGAAGCCGCAAGGUGGAGCGAAUCCCAUAAAGCCGGUCCCAGUUCGGAUCGUGGGCUGCAACCCGCCCACGUGAAGCCGGAAUCGCUAGUAAUCGCGGAUCAGCAUGCCGCGGUGAAUACGUUCCCGGGCCUU